Molecule: long non-coding RNA, 463 nt
Organism: Osmerus eperlanus (European smelt)
Lineage: Eukaryota; Metazoa; Chordata; Actinopteri; Osmeriformes; Osmeridae
Exons: 2
Source: RefSeq, a predicted model, not a curated record
UGUAUUGCCUUGCAAUGCCAUUGGAUACUAAAUGUGUAUAUAGAUAUGGCUAUAAGGCCAUGAACUCAUUCCACCAGCCAACUUUCCUGGAAGCGAAUCUCCUUGGUUCAUUGGACUGGAUAUAUCAACAUUAAAAAUGACACCAACAAGGAGAGUUUACUUCAGUAUGCAUGAUGUCAUUGAUGCUAUCCAAAAUGGAGAAAGUGAUGUUGACAUGGAAUCAGACACCAGUGAUUCGAGUGAUGAGCAGGUGGUUGAAAAUGUUGAGGAAGUGGAAAAAGAGAAUCAGAGACCCACUGAUUGUCCAACUAAUGAUGAUGAUGGUAAGGACAUCGAGCAAACCAACACAAGCCAACCAAACCACAACAUAUGCGCUAUCAAGUGAUAUGACAACAGGGCAGUCACACUUGUGUCAUCCUUUGCUGGCAUUGAUCCUGUGCAAAAGAUUCAACGCUGGAACAAA